This 1485-nucleotide unclassified non-coding RNA is filed under the name Hevea brasiliensis (rubber tree). Lineage: Eukaryota; Viridiplantae; Streptophyta; Magnoliopsida; Malpighiales; Euphorbiaceae. The record is from RNAcentral.
GGUUAUUGUAUUUUUCGAGCUUUUGAAUAAUGGAUUUUGAUUUAUUAUAAUGGCGUUUGAUUUGUGCAUCAAUUUUGAAGUUCUGUAUUGUUUAUUGGCGAUCUGGAAGUAAUUAUACAUGUUGUAGAACGAAUUUGUGAAUAUCUGAUGUUUUCAGUCCUAUAAUUUCUGAGUUCGGCUGUUGUUUAAGAGGUGAAUAUAUGGUGUCUUAAUAUGAUGGGCUUUAGAAUUAUGAUUUGAAUUCAUGGGAUGGGGUUUAUGCCUUUUUGUGGUUUCGAUUUGUAGGGUCAUUAGAUUUGUGCAUCUUUGCCUUUUCCAUUAUUUUUGUUGAUUGAAGGUGGGAAAGCCUUCUGAUGCAUUUUUUUAAUAUUGGAUUCCAGAAAUCCUGCUAGGUUUGGAUUAGUCCUGGUUAUUCUUAAUGGUUUUAUAGGGAUUUCAAUGUUCUAGCAUCCUUUGUUUGGGGAACAGUAUAGUAAACAUGUUUGUGUUGUGCAUUAUUGUUAUUUCAAAAUUUUAUUUGAUGAAGAUUGAGGAGCUUAAAGCUGGUGCUUUUACUCGUUAUCUAAGGUUAAAUGAAUGAAUAAUUGCAUAUAUGUUUUAACGGCUUCAAGCUUUAAGCUUUUGCAAAUUACCAGGAAUAAAUGUUCGCAUGAAAUUCAUUUCUUUUGAUUCCAGUGAAAGUUGGAAACAGAUUCUUGCAUAUGAUGCAUUCUUACAACAUGCUUUACCAAAGAAAAUUACAGUUUUUGUACAAUGGGUUGGGUGGACAUGACAGGAGCAUAUACUUUCCUUCAAUCUAAUGGUCUUGUAAUGGUGUUCUUGAUCCCCGCAUAGAAUCUUGUAGAACAUAAAACUUUCUACCUUGCCAUUGUGUAUACCCCUUUGAGUGGAAAUUCAUUCAACCCUGGGGUUAUUGUGGCCUUCUAUUAUAAUUGCAAGCAUUCUACUGAUAAUUCUAUUUUUGUGUAAUUUGGGAUAUUUGUUUAUUUUCUUUGUUUCUUUUAAUCUUUUUUUGAAGACAACUUUGUAGAGAUCAUAAUUGGUUAUAUCAUGGUAUAAUGUAGAUUGUUGUGUUGGAAAAUCCUGCUGCUGAACAUUUAGCAUAUUAGUUCUAUGUUUAUAGUGAUGUUACUGGAGUUUACAUGUAGCUGUUAAUCUGUAAUCUAUGUGAAACAAAUGUGAGUAUAGUUACGUUUGUAUAUUUUUUAUUGGUUUAAGUAUAUUGUUUUAAUUUAGCAUGAACUAUCAGGUUAGUUUGUGUACUGCAAUCAUCCUGGUUGGGCUUUUGGUUUGUUUAUGUUUGUUGUUUUCUUAUUUGCAGAAAGAAUUUUGUGCACUCCGAAAAUUUCUUGGAUUACAGUGAACUCAAAAAAUUUUUUAAUGACUAGAAUUUAUGAAAAAUAUGAGAAUUUUAGGUGCAAACUAUGAUUACUGAUUCCAAAAACUUGUUGGCUUCUUACCAGGUUUUCUUGGAUUGUGGCAAAA